AUGGAGAAAACUAGCGCCACCUUGCCCUCGCGAGUGGCAUGCAUGACAAAUCUUCAUAGUGUACCAGCCCUCUCAGAAUCGGUCCAUGGCCUUGAAUUAAGUGAUGCCAACUCUUUUUCAGAGAUUAAUUCUGCUAUGCUUAAUUUUGCUGAGUUCUCUACGCCUAAGAAGAGACAAUGCUUUUCUCUAGAUGGUUCGUUGUAUAAACCUCUGUGUGAUGAUGCACUCAAACCAAUAGUAGUCAUGACAUUUGAUGAUAUUGCUGCCGUGGAGACAUUUUAUAAGAAGUAUGCACAUCAUGUGGGAUUUGGUGUCCACCUUGGAGCACAAAGGCUUGUGAACAAUGUAAUUCAGUGGAAGCGUUUCUUAUGCUCAAGGGAGGAAUACCGGUCCACGGAAGAUGAGUGUGGUAGCAUGAGGAACGCUAUCAAGGCACUUCUACCCCAUACCACGCAUCGGUUGUGCAGGUUGCACAUUAUGAAGAAGGUUCCUCAGAAGAAUUCGAAGAAAGUUGGAAGUCUAAUAUCAGAUUUUGGCUUGCAAGAAAAUGAGUGGUUUGCAAAAUGUUACCUGAUUCGUGGGUCAUGGGUGCCAGCAUUUUUCAUGGACAUUGCCCUAGCUGGUAUUCUCAGAACCACCUCUAGGUCAGAGAGUGAAAACUCAUUUUUGAAGAAUUUCAUCCGUCGGAAGCUCGCAUUUGUUGAGUUUAGGCUUAGGUUUAACACAACCUUGAAAUGUCAGAGGCAAGAGGAGUUGAUUGCUGACCACACAAGCCUACAUACAACACCUAGAUUGCAGACAUGUUGGGAAGUGGAAAGACAGGGCAGCGUACUUUUCACUCAUAAGGUCUUUGCCUUGUUUCAAUCAGAGGUACUUACUGGUAGAGAGCAUUGUGAUGUCCAGGAUACUAUGACUAUGGGGGAGCUGAAGAUUGUUUCCAUUAGUGAUCAAAGUCAUCGGAAAAAUAAGGUAAGAGACAUGCAUUUAGAGACAACAACCAUGAUUGCUAAAUGUUCUUGCAAGCUCUUUGAGUCCAAGGGCAUUGUGUGCCACCAUGUCACACGCGUCUUGAGGGGUGCAAAGAUAAAUGAGCUUCCAACCUUUUAUGUUCUCAAAAGAUGGGAGAAAAUGUGCAAAAGGGAUAUUGUAUUUGACAACGAAGUGAAUGCCCUUGAAGAUAAUCCGAUUGACUGCAUUGACAUGGAUUCUAGAAGAAAGAUCUCGAUGGCACGAAACAAAUCUCCCUCCAUUCUCGCGUUCUAUGGGAUGACAGAAAGGUGGGGUACAAGGGUUGUUAUGAGCCACGAUUUGACCACGUUUGGUCCAAUCGGAUGGAUAUUGCGGUAUUCAUUAGCCGAAUGGGCUUUGAGGUGCCGGGACAGCCGAGUUAUUCUUAUGAUGUGGACGUUCAUGCCUUCUAGGUCGUAUCCUUGCAAUGGGCCUACCCCGAGGGAUCCUGCUGUCAACAUGCAAUGUAUGCUUGAAGGGAGAACAUUGGGAAGUGGCUUCAGCCUCGAUCUGCACCCCAAGUGCACCGAUGGCAUGGGGAUCCUCGAUCUCAGCUAG
This 1566-nucleotide ribosomal RNA is filed under the name Triticum aestivum (bread wheat). Its description in RNAcentral is "partial small subunit ribosomal RNA". The record is from RNAcentral. Lineage: Eukaryota; Viridiplantae; Streptophyta; Magnoliopsida; Poales; Poaceae.